CCAAUAGCGUAUAUUAAAGUUGUUGCAGUUAAAAAGCUCGUAGUUGAAUUUCGAGACCGGUCUACUGGUCGUGCUUUUGUACGUACUGGUUUUAUUGGUUUCUCCUUUCUGACGAACUAUAAUGCCAUUAAUUUGGUGUUAUAGGGAAUCAGGACUGUUACUUUGAAAAAAUUAGAGUGUUUAAAGCAGGCUCACGCUUGAAUACAUUAGCAUGGAAUAACGGAAUAGGCCGUUUGAUUUUAUUUUGUUGGUUUCUAGGAUCGACGUAAUGAUUAAUAGGGAUGGUUGUGGGCAUUAGUAUUCAAUUGGCAGAGGCGAAAUUCUUGGAUUUAUUGAAGACUAAAUACUGCGAAAGCAUUUGCCAAGGAUGUUUUCAUUAAUCAAGAACGAAAGUUAGGGGAUCGAAGACGAUCAGAUACCGUCGUAGUCUUAACCAUAAACUAUGCCGACUAGGGAUCGGAUGAUGUUAAUUUUUUAAUGACUCAUUCGGCGCCUUACG
RNAcentral lists this ribosomal RNA (499 nucleotides) under uncultured Glomeromycotina. RNAcentral describes it as "partial small subunit ribosomal RNA". It matches the Rfam family "Eukaryotic small subunit ribosomal RNA", at positions 591 to 1092 of the family's 1831-position model. The record is from RNAcentral. Lineage: Eukaryota; Fungi; Glomeromycota.